Molecule: ribosomal RNA, 253 nt
Filed under: uncultured bacterium
Lineage: Bacteria
Description: partial 16S ribosomal RNA
Rfam family: Bacterial small subunit ribosomal RNA
Source: RNAcentral
UACGUAGGGUGCAAGCGCUGUCCGGAAUUAUUGGGCGUAAAGAGCUCGUAGGCGGUUUGUCGCGUCUGCUGUGAAAAUCCAGGGCUUAACCCUGGACCUGCAGUGGGUACGGGCAGACUGGAGUGCGGUAGGGGAGAUCGGAAUUCCUGGUGUAGCGGUGAAAUGCGCAGAUAUCAGGAGGAACACCGGUGGCGAAGGCGGAUCUCUGGGCCGUAGCUGACGCUGAGGAGCGAAAGCAUGGGGAGCGAACAGG